ACUCAAAUGAAUUGACGGGGGCCCGCACAAGCGGUGGAGCAUGUGGUUUAAUUCGAUGAUACGCGAGGAACCUUACCAGGGCUUAAAUGUAGUGGGACAGGCUUGGAAACAGGCCCUUCUUCGGACUCAUUACAAGGUGCUGCAUGGUUGUCGUCAGCUCGUGCCGUGAGGUGUCAGGUUAAGUCCUAUAACGAGCGCAACCCCUGUUGUUAGUUGCCAGCGAGUCAUGUCGGGAACUCUAACAAGACUGCCGGUGCAAACCGUGAGGAAGGUGGGGAUGACGUCAAAUCAUCACGGCCCUUACGUCCUGGGCUACACACGUGCUACAAUGGCCGGUACAGAGAGCAGCCACUGGGCGACCAGGAGCGAAUCUAUAAAACCGGUCACAGUUCGGAUUGGAGUCUGCAACCCGACUCCAUGAAGCUGGAAUCGCUAGUAAUCGGAUAUCAGCCAUGAUCCGGUGAAUACGUUCCCGGGCCUUGUACACACCGCCCGU
This 496-nucleotide ribosomal RNA is filed under the name uncultured bacterium. RNAcentral's name for it is "partial 16S ribosomal RNA". It matches the Rfam family "Bacterial small subunit ribosomal RNA", at positions 899 to 1397 of the family's 1533-position model. The record is from RNAcentral.